UUUGUCCAACAAGAUGCCAAGAGAAGGUGGUCAGGGGAAUUUGCAUCACAGAUAAUUCCUUUAAACCGGAUGUAGCAAAUUGUCUGGUGUUCUAUACCCCUAAAUCUUUAUGCCCUGACCAGAUGACAUCAGUCCGCAUCUUCCAAUUGAGCAGUAAUGUGCGGGCUUGUCCCUCUGGCAUGUUCGUCGUCUAUCUAUCAACUAUAUGUGGUGAU
Coffea arabica (coffee) is the source of this 215-nucleotide non-coding RNA. The record is from RefSeq and is a predicted model, not a curated record. Lineage: Eukaryota; Viridiplantae; Streptophyta; Magnoliopsida; Gentianales; Rubiaceae.